Lutra lutra (Eurasian river otter) is the source of this 753-nucleotide long non-coding RNA. RefSeq lists it as uncharacterized. The record is from RefSeq and is a predicted model, not a curated record. NCBI's taxonomy places the organism in Eukaryota, Metazoa, Chordata, Mammalia, Carnivora, Mustelidae. The transcript has 2 exons.
GAGUGGAGUUUCUAUGAGUAAAAUUCUGUUAAUUUACAAGUAUUUUCCCAUGUCAGCCAAUGACCCAUUUAUUAGAACAUUUAUAAUUUUAUUGAAAUCAGUGAAACAAAAUACAGUUCUUAGGAGUUCAUAAUGGGAUUAAAUCUGUGUAAGUAACUGGUUUAAUAGGUCAGUAUAUAUUACAGUAGUAUAAUGGAGAUUUAGCAUGCACUCUGGACCGUCACAUUUUAGCCCUGAGUCAGUCAGAUUCCAGCCAGGUAUGGCUAUAGAUGGUAUACUAGAUACUUUAUAUACAUUAUUGCUAAUCUACAAAAAAUUCCUGCAAAGUACUUACCUUCUCCAUUUAAGUCUAAGUAUGCUAGAAUAUAACCAGAGUUUGUCUUCAUUUUCAAAUGGAAACAAGAAAUGUUAAGAUUAAGUUGCCAAAGGUCACAGAGCUUACUCAGGUCACAUAGUUUACUCAGUGGAGAAGCCCGAAUUUGAAAUGGGAAUCUAUAAUCCAAAACGCCAGCCUAUUUUACAUUAUUUCAUGUUGGCAAAUAAGUAUAUAUGAAUCAUUUAUUUCUGUCAUUAAGUCUUAUACUGUUAGCCUCUUUCGUUGAUAGGUAAUAAAAUCACUUAAAAAUUUGUCUGCAGGAUGCUGAGAUUUUUUUGUAACUUGUUUUAAGUGUAGACUUUGAUUUUGUUGUAUUUAGGGUUUGUUUUGCCUUUUUUUUUUUUUUUUUUUUUUUAAGAUUUUAUUUGUCAGAAAGA